AUGGAGGUAAAGAAAGUUUACUUGAAGACCGAGCAUGGUUAUAUUUUCCAUGCAAAAUUAUACAAUUCAGACGACUACACCUAUUUUGGAUGCAAAACUUGGCGAGCACUAUGCAAGACUUAUGCAUUUGAGCCUGAUAUGGUUAUCACCUUUGAUAGUCGUCCGGAAGAUGAUAUUGAAGGUAAUACCGACAUCUGGAUCGAUGUGCAGACACCUCUAGUUAUAUCAUUAUCUUAUUUCGGUGCAAGCAAACAUGUCCAGGGCUUGGUAGACAUGACCUACUACUGUCCCGAGGCUGAACUCAACUGCGAGGAGCUAAGUCAUUAUGUUUCAUGGCUUGAGGAUCUUGAUACUGUCAAGACAAAUUUUCUUCCUGCAUUUAGAAAUGUUAGUACUGAAAACGUGCGACCAAUAGUGUUCGUAAUGAACUACGGUCACAUCUAUUUAGGAAGGAUGGUAAGAUUUUUACUAUUUGUCCUUAGUGCAUCUUUUCCAUACAUUAUUUUUGAAGCUAAACUUCAUUGCUAA
Molecule: ribosomal RNA, 528 nt
Filed under: Triticum aestivum (bread wheat)
Lineage: Eukaryota; Viridiplantae; Streptophyta; Magnoliopsida; Poales; Poaceae
Description: partial small subunit ribosomal RNA
Source: RNAcentral